Molecule: transfer RNA, 77 nt
Filed under: Candidatus Aerophobetes bacterium Ae_b3b
Lineage: Bacteria; Candidatus Aerophobota
Description: tRNA-His
Rfam family: tRNA
About the family: Transfer RNA (tRNA) molecules are approximately 80 nucleotides in length. Their secondary structure includes four short double-helical elements and three loops (D, anti-codon, and T loops).
Source: RNAcentral
GUGAGCGUAGCUCAGCUGGUUAGAGCACUGGACUGUGGCUCCAGGGGUCGGGGGUUCAAAUCCCCUCGCUCACCCCA